Molecule: ribosomal RNA, 488 nt
Filed under: uncultured bacterium
Lineage: Bacteria
Description: bacterial SSU rRNA
Rfam family: Bacterial small subunit ribosomal RNA
Source: RNAcentral
GAUGAACGCUAGCGGGAGGCUUAACACAUAGCAAGUCGAGGGGCAGCAUAGGGUAGCAAUACUCUGAUGGCGACCGGCAAACGGGUGAGUAACGCGUAUGCAACCUACCCUGUACAGGGGGAUAACCCGGAGAAAUUCGGACUAAUAUCCCGUAAUAAUAUCCGGAGGCAUCUUUGGAUAUUUAAAGUUCCGACGGUACGGGAUGGGCAUGCGUAACAUUAACUGGUUGGUAAGGUAACGGCUUACCAAGGCUAUGAUGUUUAGGGGUCCUGAGAGGGUGGUCCCCCACACUGGUACUGAGACACGGACCAGACUCCUACGGGAGGCAGCAGUGAGGAAUAUUGGUCAAUGGGCGCAAGCCUGAACCAGCCAUCCCGCGUGCAGGAAGACGGCCCUAUGGGUUGUAAACUGCUUUUCCAGGGAGAGAAACUUACGCACGUGUUGCGUGACUGACGGUACCCUGGGAAUAAGCAUCGGCUAACUCCGUG